GACUGGUGCAAGUGCAGUGGUAUUUACAACUAAUUGAUUACAGCCAAUUACAGAUUUCUUUGUUCCUUCUCUACUCCCACUGCUUCACUUGACUUAAA
Y RNA from Heterocephalus glaber (naked mole-rat), 98 nucleotides. It matches the Rfam family "Y RNA". Rfam says of the family: Y RNAs are components of the Ro ribonucleoprotein particle (Ro RNP), in association with Ro60 and La proteins. The Y RNAs and Ro60 and La proteins are well conserved, but the function of the Ro RNP is not known. The record is from Ensembl. NCBI's taxonomy places the organism in Eukaryota, Metazoa, Chordata, Mammalia, Rodentia, Bathyergidae.